Molecule: ribosomal RNA, 434 nt
Filed under: uncultured bacterium
Lineage: Bacteria
Description: partial 16S ribosomal RNA
Rfam family: Bacterial small subunit ribosomal RNA
Source: RNAcentral
AGCGAACGCUGGCGGCAGGCCUAACACAUGCAAGUCGAACGAACCUUUCGGGGUUAGUGGCGGACGGGUGAGUAACACGUGGGAACGUGCCUUUAGGUUCGGAAUAACUCAGGGAAACUUGUGCUAAUACCGAAUGUGCCCUUCGGGGGAAAGAUUUAUCGCCUUUAGAGCGGCCCGCGUCUGAUUAGCUAGUUGGUUGAGGUAAUGGCUCACCAAGGCGACGAUCAGUAGCUGGUCUGAGAGGAUGAUCAGCCACAUUGGGACUGAGACACGGCCCAAACUCCUACGGGAGGCAGCAGUGGGGAAUCUUACGCAAUGGGCGAAAGCCUGACGCAGCCAUGCCGCGUGAAUGAUGAAGGUCUUAGGAUUGUAAAAUUCUUUCACCGGGGACGAUAAUGACGGUACCCGGAGAAGAAGCCCCGGCUAACUUCGUG